RNAcentral lists this transfer RNA (94 nucleotides) under Microbacterium flavescens. RNAcentral describes it as "tRNA-Glu". RNAcentral also lists the same sequence under 1 other name. Lineage: Bacteria; Bacillati; Actinomycetota; Actinomycetes; Micrococcales; Microbacteriaceae. The record is from RNAcentral.
GGUACGGGUAGAGGAUCUCCUUGGCCUCGGCGUCGGUCUCGGCGAUGAAUCCGGGCGAGUGCAUGGCGAUGGGCUGCGAGGGCUUGCCGAACUC